Molecule: transfer RNA, 86 nt
Filed under: Nanobdellota archaeon
Lineage: Archaea; Nanobdellati; Nanobdellota
Description: tRNA-Leu
Rfam family: tRNA
About the family: Transfer RNA (tRNA) molecules are approximately 80 nucleotides in length. Their secondary structure includes four short double-helical elements and three loops (D, anti-codon, and T loops).
Source: RNAcentral
GCGGGGGUAGCAAAGCCUGGCCAAAUGCGUAGGACUUAAGAUCCUAUACCUUAGUGGUUUCGAGGGUUCGAAUCCCUUCCCCCGCA